Molecule: transfer RNA, 85 nt
Filed under: Pelistega europaea
Lineage: Bacteria; Pseudomonadati; Pseudomonadota; Betaproteobacteria; Burkholderiales; Alcaligenaceae
Also listed under: 1 other name
Rfam family: tRNA
About the family: Transfer RNA (tRNA) molecules are approximately 80 nucleotides in length.
Source: Rfam by way of RNAcentral
GGAUCGGUGGCCGAGUGGCUUAAGGCACACGCUUGGAAAGCGUGCAUACGGAAACGUAUCGGGGGUUCGAAUCCCCCCCAAUCCG